This 479-nucleotide ribosomal RNA is filed under the name uncultured Dechloromonas sp. RNAcentral describes it as "bacterial SSU rRNA". It matches the Rfam family "Bacterial small subunit ribosomal RNA", at positions 1 to 478 of the family's 1533-position model. Lineage: Bacteria; Pseudomonadati; Pseudomonadota; Betaproteobacteria; Rhodocyclales; Azonexaceae. The record is from RNAcentral.
UUUUAGAGUUUGAUCCUGGCUCAGAUUGAACGCUGGCGGCAUGCCUUACACAUGCAAGUCGAACGGCAGCACGGAGCAAUCCUGGUGGCGAGUGGCGAACGGGUGAGUAAUGUAUCGGAACGUACCUUUCAGUGGGGGAUAACGUAGCGAAAGUUACGCUAAUACCGCAUAUUCUGUGAGCAGGAAAGCAGGGGAUCGCAAGACCUUGCGCUGAUUGAGCGGCCGAUAUCAGAUUAGCUAGUUGGUGGGGUAAAAGCUCACCAAGGCGACGAUCUGUAGCGGGUCUGAGAGGAUGAUCCGCCACACUGGAACUGAGACACGGUCCAGACUCCUACGGGAGGCAGCAGUGGGGAAUUUUGGACAAUGGGGGCAACCCAUGAUCCAGCCAUGCCGCGUGAGUGAAGAAGGCCUUCGGGUAGUAAAGCUCUUUCGGCCGGGAAGAAAUCGCAUGGGUUAAUACCCUGUGCGGAUGACGGUAC